ACGGGGGAUGCAAGCGUUAUCCGGAUUUAUUGGGUUUAAAGGGUGCGUAGGCGGUUUGAUAAGUCAGCGGUGAAAUAUUUCAGCUUAACUGAAAGGGUGCCAUUGAUACUGUCUGGCUUGAAUAUGGUUGCUGUGGGUGGAAUGUGUCGUGUAGCGGUGAAAUGCUUAGAUAUGGGGCAGAACACCGAUUGCGAAGGCAGCUUUCAGGACCAUUAUUGACGCUGAUGCGCGAAAGUGUGGGGAGCAAACAG
Molecule: ribosomal RNA, 251 nt
Filed under: uncultured prokaryote
Description: partial 16S rRNA
Rfam family: Bacterial small subunit ribosomal RNA
Source: RNAcentral